GUCCACGCCCUAAACGAUGCAUAUUUGGUGUGGGCCAUUCAUUUGGUCUGUGCCGGAGCUAACGCGUUAAAUAUGCCGCCUGGGGAGUACAGUCGCAAGGCUGAAACUCAAAGGAAUUGACGGGGGCCCCGCACAAGCGGUGGAGCAUGUGGUUUAAUUCGACGCAACGCGAAGAACCUUACCUGGGCUCGAAAUGCUAUGGACCAGCUGGUGAAAGCCGGCCUUCCCGCAAGGGACUGUAGUAUAGGUGCUGCAUGGCUGUCGU
Molecule: ribosomal RNA, 265 nt
Filed under: uncultured bacterium
Lineage: Bacteria
Description: partial 16S ribosomal RNA
Rfam family: Bacterial small subunit ribosomal RNA
Source: RNAcentral